This 468-nucleotide ribosomal RNA is filed under the name uncultured bacterium. Its description in RNAcentral is "partial 16S ribosomal RNA". It matches the Rfam family "Bacterial small subunit ribosomal RNA", at positions 28 to 507 of the family's 1533-position model. The record is from RNAcentral.
GACGAACGCUGGCGGCGUGCUUAACACAUGCAAGUCGAACGGAAAGGCCCUGCUUUUGUUGGGUUCUCGAGUGGCGAACGGGUGAGUAACACGUGUGUAACCUGCCCUUGACUUUGGGAGAACUUCAGGAAACUGGGGCUAAUACCGGAUAGGAUCUCCUGCAGCAUGGUGGGGGUUGGAAAGUUUCGGCGGUUGGGGAUGGACUCGCGGCUUACCAGCUGGUUUGUGGGGUAGGGGCUUUCCAGGGUUUUCACGGGUAGCCGGCCUGAGAGGGUGACCGGGCACAUUGGGACUGCGAUACGGCCCAGACUCCAACGGGAGGCAGCGGUGGGAAAUAUUGCGCAAUGGGGGGAAGCCUGAUGUGGCAGCGCCGGGUGCGGGAUGACGGCCUUCGGGUUGUAAACCAAUUUCGCCUGUGACGAAGAGUGAGUGACGGUAAUGGGUAAAGAAGCAACGGCUAACUACGUG